AAUCUCAACCAUCCAAUCACGUAAUCAAUGGACUAAAACUUUUGUUAACGAAAUAACGAAGUCUUCGUUAACGCUAACGCUAAUCCUCGCACGUCCUUUUCGCCAACCGCUCCGCCCCGCCCGCCCCGCCUUCACCUGCUCGUCGCGGGCGCCGCCUCCCCUCCACGCCGCCGCUCGCUCGCCCCACCCUCACCGGUUGCCGCCCGCUCGGAAAAGGACAUGGGCGAGGCGCAGGACACCGGCCGCGAUGCCGCGGUGAGCAGCCCCGACGCCGGCCGACCAGGAGCAUCAUCUGUCGGAGUAGAUGGAUUUGUGGAUGGCCUGAGCCAAGGAGGACGAAGCAGAUCCCCCUCCUGCACCUGCACCUCCUCCUCUAUUAUAUUAGAAACAGUCUAUGGAAGAUGCGGCGACGGGCAAGCUGGGCAGAACUGAGCACCUCCACGGUGUAGCCACCGGUGACACGUCGUCCUUCCGGAAGUUGGACCUGCCUGCGGAGAUUCAGACUCUUAUAAUCUCAAUGCUGCCACUGAAAGAGGUUGCGAGGACAAGCAUCGUUUCAAGAAGUUGGAGAAUGCUUUGGACAUUCCAUUGUAAUCUAUGUUAGAAACUCAGGUCCUUUCAAGACGCCUCAACCUAGGACUGCCAACGGGGGGCCUCCGGUGCUGGGGUUGGGUUGCUGCCUACCUUGGGUUGACACCCGUCGCGGACACCGGCGUCGCUGAGGUUGCUGGCUGCCCUGUGGUUGGGGUUACUGUUGCUGCAUACUACAUACUAUACUGAAUCCUCCCGUGCUUGAUAGAGAGAACAUAUGACAUACGGGUGCAUUAUGCAAACAAUGGACGAUAUGCUGAUGUUUCUGCUGCAAUCUGAAAUCAGUACUUCUUCUCAGACAACUCUAGAUGGGUUAUAAAAAUUAUUACCAAAGCGUGUAUAGAAGCUUAUGAAUAUGCAUGCUACUUUGGGAUAUUGUGGUGUUAAAUUACCGCUUCUCAAAUCACAAUUUGAGGUGGUGUUUGGUCAACCAAAGGCAAAGAAUAUUAUAGCAAACAAUUGCAACAGCAAGCAAAUUCACUUCAGACCAAAGUUUGAUAAGGCAUGUGGCGAUGCUAGGACGUGUUGUAGUGCUCGGUAGCCUGCACGAUCCACAGGCAUAAGGCCAAAGUUGUGAGUGGGCUGGCUUUGGUCUAAGGUUUUUUAAAUGCAUCAAAAUUUAUAUUUGUUUGUAACCUGAAUCUUGCAUGUGGUUUUUGGAUGUAGCUACAAUUUUUUUUGCAUCGUAUGGCGGUAACACAUUAAGGCUCAGUUGUGUGUUCACAUUAAUUCAAAAAAUCUACAUAUGAACCGACUA
Hordeum vulgare subsp. vulgare (domesticated barley) is the source of this 1348-nucleotide long non-coding RNA. RefSeq lists it as uncharacterized. The record is from RefSeq and is a predicted model, not a curated record. NCBI's taxonomy places the organism in Eukaryota, Viridiplantae, Streptophyta, Magnoliopsida, Poales, Poaceae. The transcript has 4 exons.